RNAcentral lists this unclassified non-coding RNA (311 nucleotides) under fungal sp. RNAcentral's name for it is "partial internal transcribed spacer region". The stretch from base 1 to 46 matches the Rfam family "Eukaryotic small subunit ribosomal RNA", at positions 1786 to 1831 of the family's 1831-position model. Lineage: Eukaryota; Fungi. The record is from RNAcentral.
AAGUCGUAACAAGGUUUCCGUAGGUGAACCUGCGGAAGGAUCAUUCUUGUAUCUCAACCACUUUCCACAGUGGCAAACUAUGUGAACUGUACAACUCACUUUGUGCUUCAUGUAUUAGCUUUAUGCUGAUGCGGUGCUGUGACGAAGUGGGCCGGCUUGGCGAAAGGCGGUGCUACUAGCACGCGCGUCGUCUGACUUGCGGUCCGCUUGUUCGCCCUGCACCACGCACGUUUCAACGUACCAUCAAACCCUUUAAACUUACGCUAUACUUAAAAUUAAUACAACUUUUAGCAACGGAUCUCUAGGCUCUC